AUGACUUCAAAUGUACUGCUGAAUUUCCCUUCCCAAUAACAGCAUUGUUGAUCUUCUUCUAACACCAGCAUCCCAUUUGCUCUGCACCAGUAGAUCAUGGAGUAGCAACUGUCUCCAACAAUGUGUUCAGAUGUGAGCAGCGUCUUCCAGGGAAUAGCCAGAAGACAUAGGGAAGAAGAUGGAUGAGGACACACCCU
This 197-nucleotide long non-coding RNA is filed under the name Fukomys damarensis (Damara mole-rat). RNAcentral describes it as "lncRNA (ENSFDAG00000028161.1)". Lineage: Eukaryota; Metazoa; Chordata; Mammalia; Rodentia; Bathyergidae. The record is from RNAcentral.